This 462-nucleotide ribosomal RNA is filed under the name uncultured Methylophilaceae bacterium. RNAcentral describes it as "bacterial SSU rRNA". It matches the Rfam family "Bacterial small subunit ribosomal RNA", at positions 920 to 1382 of the family's 1533-position model. Lineage: Bacteria; Pseudomonadati; Pseudomonadota; Betaproteobacteria; Nitrosomonadales; Methylophilaceae. The record is from RNAcentral.
CCCGCACAAGCGGUGGAUUAUGUGGAUUAAUUCGAUGCAACGCGAAAACCUUACCUACCCUUGACAUGCUAGGAACUUGCCAGAGAUGGCUUGGUGCCCGAAAGGGAACCUAGACACAGGUGCUGCAUGGCUGUCGUCAGCUCGUGUCGUGAGAUGUUGGGUUAAGUCCCGCAACGAGCGCAACCCUUGUCAUUAAUUGCCAUCAUUCAGUUGGGCACUUUAAUGAGACUGCCGGUGACAAACCGGAGGAAGGUGGGGAUGACGUCAAGUCCUCAUGGCCCUUAUGGGUAGGGCUUCACACGUAAUACAAUGGUCGGUACAGAGGGUUGCCAACCCGCGAGGGGGAGUCAAUCCCAGAAAACCGAUCGUAGUCCGGAUUGCAGUCUGCAACUCGACUGCAUGAAGUCGGAAUCGCUAGUAAUCGCGGAUCAGCAUGUCGCGGUGAAUACGUUCCCGGGCCUU